RNAcentral lists this ribosomal RNA (253 nucleotides) under uncultured bacterium. RNAcentral's name for it is "partial 16S ribosomal RNA". It matches the Rfam family "Bacterial small subunit ribosomal RNA", at positions 524 to 776 of the family's 1533-position model. The record is from RNAcentral.
GACAGAGGUGCCAAGCGUUAGGCGGAAUCACUGGGCUUAAAGCGUGUGUAGGCGGACUUGUAAGUACCUUGUGAAAUCCCACGGCUCAACCGUGGAACUGCUUGGUAUACUGCUUGUCUUGAGCCACUUAGGGGCUACCGGAACAAAUGGUGGAGCGGUGAAAUGCGUAGAUAUCAUUUGGAACGCCAACGGUGAGAACAGCUCGCUGGGGGUGUGCUGACGCUGAGACACGAAAGCCAGGGGAGCAAACGGG